GACGAACGCUGGCGGCGUGCUUAACACAUGCAAGUCGAACGGAAAGGCCCUGCUUUUGUGGGGUGCUCGAGUGGCGAACGGGUGAGUAACACGUGAGUAGCCUGCCCCUGACUUUGGGAUAACUUCAGGAAACUGGGGCUAAUACCGGAUAGGAGCUCCUGCUGCAUGGUGGGGGUUGGAAAGUUUCGGCGGUUGGGGAUGGACUCGCGGCUUAUCAGCUUGUUGGUGGGGUAGUGGCUUACCAAGGCUUUGACGGGUAGCCGGCCUGAGAGGGUGACCGGCCACAUUGGGACUGAGAUACGGCCCAGACUCCUACGGGAGGCAGCAGUGGGGAAUAUUGCACAAUGGGCGGAAGCCUGAUGCAGCAACGCCGCGUGCGGGAUGACGGCCUUCGGGUUGUAAACCGCUUUCGCCUGUGACGAAGCGUGAGUGACGGUAAUGGGUAAAGAAGCACCGGCUAACUACGU
RNAcentral lists this ribosomal RNA (467 nucleotides) under uncultured bacterium. Its description in RNAcentral is "partial 16S ribosomal RNA". It matches the Rfam family "Bacterial small subunit ribosomal RNA", at positions 28 to 506 of the family's 1533-position model. The record is from RNAcentral.